AUUGAACGAUGGAAGCAGGCCUAACACAUGCAAGUCGAACGAGUGGCGGACGGGUGAGUAAUGUAUGGGAAACUGCCUGAUGGAGGGGGAUAACUACUGGAAAAGGUAGCUAAUAACGCAUACAAUAAGAUGUGCACAGAUGGGAUUAGCUAGUAGGGGGGGUAACGGCUCACCUAGGCGACGAUCCCUAGCUGGUCUGAGAGGAUUACCAGCCACACUGUAACUGAGACACGGUCCAGACUCCUACGGGAGGCAGCAGUGGGGAAUAUUGCACAAUGGGCGCAAGCCUGAUGCAGCCAUGCCGCGUGUAUGAAGAAGGCCUUCGGGUUGUAAAGUACUUUCAGCGGGGAGGCGUUACCCGCAGAAGAAGCACCGGCUAACUCCGUGCCAGCAGCCGCGGUAAUUC
Molecule: ribosomal RNA, 406 nt
Filed under: uncultured bacterium
Lineage: Bacteria
Description: partial 16S ribosomal RNA
Rfam family: Bacterial small subunit ribosomal RNA
Source: RNAcentral